This is a small nucleolar RNA of Brugia malayi, 130 nucleotides long. The record is from RefSeq and is a predicted model, not a curated record. Lineage: Eukaryota; Metazoa; Nematoda; Chromadorea; Rhabditida; Onchocercidae.
AUUGUUCCAAUCUUCGGUGAGGUUAUCCAGCAGAACAGUGGAACAACCCGCAUCUGAAGGAUGAUAUGAUUUCCGAGAAACUUAGCACAGAGACAGACACCUAGUCCACACUGUGACUCUGUUCUCGUUU